Molecule: unclassified non-coding RNA, 385 nt
Filed under: fungal sp.
Lineage: Eukaryota; Fungi
Description: partial internal transcribed spacer region
Rfam family: Eukaryotic small subunit ribosomal RNA (bases 1-46)
Source: RNAcentral
AAGUCGUAACAAGGUUUCCGUAGGUGAACCUGCGGAAGGAUCAUUAACACGUAUCCAACGUUAAACCCCCCUGUGAAUUUUAUCGCAGCUCUUGCAGAUGCCGGUAAGUUUGCAAUCCCUGGUAAAUCAUUGUUGAACAGAUUUUGAUUCAGGGACCUCUAACACCGACAGCUGCAAUUCGAGCGCUUGUGCAAGUGGCCUGGUUUCCCCAAGCUGCCAGUGUCUGAAAGUGUACGCUUUACGAUCACUGGAGGCCGACACGGCCGGUGACCGGGCUGCUGUGGCUAUAUGCCCCCUAUAUUUACCCCACUACCUGAACUUGGGUCGCAGGAAACUGCUUCCCCUUAAAUCUGAACAACUGUUAACAAUGGAUAUCUUGGUUCUC